CUAUGCUGCAUCUUUGACAUUGCAAAAACUUGCAUUGUUUGGUUUUGACAUGAUUUUAAUUCAGCAAUCAACUGUCUUGGGGAGCGGUUUACUCAGUACAGCAAAUGAAGGAGAUAUAGAUCCAAUAACCAAAUAUGGCUGAGAGAGAGACAGCACAAGCAAGGGGAAUAGCAGGC
Long non-coding RNA from Lontra canadensis (Northern American river otter), 176 nucleotides. RefSeq lists it as uncharacterized. The record is from RefSeq and is a predicted model, not a curated record. The transcript is spliced from 3 exons. Lineage: Eukaryota; Metazoa; Chordata; Mammalia; Carnivora; Mustelidae.